UGACGACCGGCGCACGGGUGCGUAACGCGUAUAGAACCUACCUUUUACUGAGGGAUAGCCUUUAGAAAUGAAGAUUAAUAUCUCAUAGUAUUGAGAAGUGGCAUCACUUUUUAAUUAAAGAUUUAUUGGUAAAAGAUGGCUAUGCGUCCUAUUAGCUAGAUGGUAAGGUAACGGCUUACCAUGGCGACGAUAGGUAGGGGUCCUGAGAGGGAGAUCCCCCACACUGGUACUGAGACACGGACCAGACUCC
RNAcentral lists this ribosomal RNA (250 nucleotides) under uncultured Flavobacteriaceae bacterium. RNAcentral describes it as "partial 16S ribosomal RNA". It matches the Rfam family "Bacterial small subunit ribosomal RNA", at positions 89 to 339 of the family's 1533-position model. The record is from RNAcentral. Lineage: Bacteria; Pseudomonadati; Bacteroidota; Flavobacteriia; Flavobacteriales; Flavobacteriaceae.